Long non-coding RNA from Dermochelys coriacea (leatherback sea turtle), 360 nucleotides. RefSeq lists it as uncharacterized. The transcript has 3 exons. The record is from RefSeq and is a predicted model, not a curated record. Lineage: Eukaryota; Metazoa; Chordata; Testudines; Dermochelyidae.
GGUCGGCUCCCCCCGGCAGCAGGCUAGGCUGCGCUGUGCGCCCGGCGGCCGCAGGAGGAGGCGCCGCGCUGGGGCUCGGGGGCCCGCGCGCCCAGGACGCAGGUCAGGUGUAGUACAGAUCACUGAAGUGAUUAUAUGUCCAUGUACUUCAUGAGAUCUAAGGAAACUACUCCUCAGAAUGAAGUGUUUCAGUUUACAUGCUGCUUCAGUUAUAUAUCUAUAUGCAGACAAUGCAAACUAGGUUUGUUCUUCCUAAUUGGAUUUUUCCAGUUCUGUUGGAUGUUUACUAUAGCUAUGGCAACAAGAGUAGAGAUCAACUCUGCUCUAGCAUCCUUAACAACAAUACCUGAUUUAAAUGAA